GAUGAGGAACGCAGCGAAAUGCGAUACGUAAUGUGAAUUGCAGAAUUCAGUGAAUCAUCGAAUCUUUGAACGCAUAUUGCGCUCUCUGGUAUUCCGGAGAGCAUGCUUGUUUGAGUAUCAGUAAACACCUCAACUCCCUUUUCUUUUUUGAAAUUGGAGCUGGACUUGAGUGAUCCCAACGCUUUCUUCCAAGAAAGUGGCGGGUUGCUUGAAAUGCAGGUGCAGCUGAACUUUUCUCUGAGCUAUAAGCAUAUCUAUUUAGUCUGCCUAAAAAACAGAUUAUUACCUUUGCUGCAGCUAACAUAAAGGAGACUAGUUCUUGUGCUGACUGAUGCAGGAUUCACAGAGACAGCUUCGGCUGACUUUGUAAACUCGAUCUCAAAUCAAGUAAGACUACCCGCUGAACUUAAGCAUAUCAAUAAGCGGAGGA
Molecule: unclassified non-coding RNA, 430 nt
Filed under: soil metagenome
Description: partial contains 5.8S ribosomal RNA, internal transcribed spacer 2, and large subunit ribosomal RNA
Rfam family: 5.8S ribosomal RNA (bases 1-120)
Source: RNAcentral